This 279-nucleotide ribosomal RNA is filed under the name uncultured bacterium. RNAcentral's name for it is "partial 16S ribosomal RNA". It matches the Rfam family "Bacterial small subunit ribosomal RNA", at positions 506 to 784 of the family's 1533-position model. The record is from RNAcentral.
UGCCAGCAGCCGCGGUAAUACGGAGGGGGCUAGCGUUGUUCGGAAUUACUGGGCGUAAAGCGGGUGUAGGCGGAUUGGUCAGUCAGAGGUGAAAGCCCAGGGCUCAACCCUGGAAUAGCCUUCGAUACUGCCAGUCUUGAGUAUGGGAGAGGUGAGCGGAAUUCCGAGUGUAGGGGUGAAAUCCGUAGAUAUUCGGAGGAACACCAGUGGCGAAGGCGGCUUUCUGGACCGAUACUGACGCUGAGACGCGAAAGCGUGGGGAGCAAACAGGAUUAGAUA